UACGGAGGGGACUAGCGUUGUUCGGAAUUACUGGGCGUAAAGCGCACGUAGGCGGAUUUGUAAGUCAGGGGUGAAAUCCCGGGGCUCAACCUCGGAACUGCCUUUGAUACUGCAAAUCUCGAGUCCGGAAGAGAUGAGUGGAAUUCCUAGUGUAGAGGUGAAAUUCGUAGAUAUUAGGAAGAACACCAGUGGCGAAGGCGGCUCACUGGUCCGGUACUGACGCUGAGGUGCGAAAGCGUGGGGAGCAAACAGG
RNAcentral lists this ribosomal RNA (253 nucleotides) under uncultured bacterium. RNAcentral describes it as "partial 16S ribosomal RNA". It matches the Rfam family "Bacterial small subunit ribosomal RNA", at positions 524 to 776 of the family's 1533-position model. The record is from RNAcentral.